Heterocephalus glaber (naked mole-rat) is the source of this 3827-nucleotide non-coding RNA. NCBI's taxonomy places the organism in Eukaryota, Metazoa, Chordata, Mammalia, Rodentia, Bathyergidae. The record is from RefSeq and is a predicted model, not a curated record.
CCCUUUCAAUUCAUCCGGGCUGUAAACCUAUUGCUUGGGGCAGCCCCAAUCAGGGCGGGUCUUCCUGCCUGGUUUGCUGGCCCGUGUGCCAAUCACCUCUGGACAUACCCACAGACACGCUCAGAAGUGUGUUUACCAACUGCUAGGCAUUUCAGUCAACAAUCACCAUUGCCCAGCUACAACGGAAGUUUUUAGUUUGAGUGAUAUUUUAAAGAAAAGAUUUCACAAAUUCAGUUUAUAAAUCCAACUUUCAACAAGUCUGAGAAAGAAAGAACUCUCCAGCAUGGAAACCUGGCCAUCAUUUGCUGUGAACACUCGUGUGCCUGAAAGCACUCGAUAUAGAACGGCCCUGAGUGAGCAUACUCGGGCAUACAUCUGUGCUGCAUCAUAUCUACUGGACAGACACACCAGGCAGAGGCUACAACAAAAGAAUUCGCCCAGGAACAUAGUCUAUCUAGGUCAGCAUUCUCUCACAUCUACAGUGCAGUCCACAAGUACAGAAAUCGAUAAAGAGCAUGACGUGGAAUUAUCAUUCUUCAAGUUACAGGUGAUUAUGUCCCCAAAAGAAUGCAAUAAUUCCUUUAAUUUUACCUCCACUUAAAUUCCAUUUUCUACUUUUCUCUCUUGCCAGAAGUACAGUAAUUAUUCCAGACCUAGGCUCUGUGCUAAACGUCUGGGAAUAGUUUACUUGCUUGAUCUGUUCUUCACAGUAAGACGUACAACAGUGGUCUUCCACCAUCUGGGUUCAUUGUAUGUAAAUCUUCCCACUGCUCCACCAGAGCUGGUCGCAUACUCCAAAAUACAACAAUAUAAUAAUAAUAAGCUUUAUUUCACCUUUGGCUCAACUUAUAUUUCAAAGAGCCUAAGGAAACCAAUUAAAGUGUUCCUUGGAAAUAAGUUUAUUAAUGCUUUGUUGAAAAUAAUCCAGAAAACCUACUUGUAUUUUAAAUUUCUAAAAUUACUACUAAAGUAUUAGAAGUUUACAGCUUGAUGAUAACAUUCAAACAGACACCAAGUAGAGGGAAGAAUUUGGAAUCAAAUGAUCACAUUUUAGCAUGUAACAAGGAAGGGUGAAGAAAGGCUCUUAAGAAUGAGGAGCAAAGCUAAACGCUAACAGAUGUGGGAUACUGUGCAGAAUCCAGACCCAAAAGGCAUCCACGUAGAGAGAAGAAGACCCACGGAAAGUGGAAUUGAAGGGGUUUCCCGAGGCCGAGUUCAUCUGUGUUUCAGCGGCUGGCUCUGCAGGAAGUCUGGGCUGGCUCUGCAGGAAGUCUGGGUUAGCCCGCAGCACACCGCCAGGUGCGUCUCUUGGGUUAUGGAAGUAACCGGCGCAGGGCACGGCCGGUGGAGGGCCCUCGGUGCUGGAGUCCACACCCUGUGCCUCUCACUGCGCAGUGCACUCUCGCAGACGCCGCAGCCUGUUCCUCUGAGUGCUCCUCUCUGGCGAGUCCUUCCCGAGCGCCCGGCCGGGCAGUCUGUGCAUCCUCUACCAGUCACCGGCUCACACGCACCGCUUUUCUCAAGAACAGAGUUCUGUUCUCAGGAGUUUGCUUGGGCCUUCGGAGCUCUCGGGGGACCUGGCCCGGCCUCCUCCUAAACUCCACCUGAGUCUCCCGUGUCCCAUUACACGGGCUUCCGCAGUCUCUCGUGCAAACGUCCUCUUUCCUGCCCCUUCCUCUCCCUCAGCCUUACUGCGUCCCGGGCUCUACACAGGCUCGAGCUGGUCUUGACAUUCAGAACUCGGCUGUGGGGCGGCUCUUCCAAGAAGGUUCUCCCGAAGACCGAAGACGGGGAGAGGUGUUUCUGCCGGAGGUGGGAUCGGUCUCCACGGCCUCGAUGACAGCUCCAGUUCCUCUCCGAUGAUCCGCGCUAUUUGCUGUUGUUUCUCCACACUGGAGGGCGCUGGGCAGGGAGGAGCUGUCUUGCUCGUCAUUGUAUCCGCAGAGCUCAGCCCUGUCCCAUCCGAGACACAGUGGGCCUCAGAGUAACGUUGAUGAAUAAAAGAAGACAGUUCAUGGAAAUAGAAAGAUGGGAGGAGAGACAUACCUAUGAGUGAGGGAGAUGGGAGAGUUGGGUUGAGGUGAGAAGCUGUUUAUUUCCUGGGAACUUGGGAGCCUGAGGUGCCCUGCAGUCCCGCCCGGAGGUGACAACACCACUCAUGACCUCUGGCCUGCAGGUGGGCUGUGUCGUGCAGGUGUGUCUCCACCACUGCUGAGGAUGGGGCAGCUGUGUCGCAGGUCUGAGGUGGGACUUGGGCUGCAGCAACAGCAGCAGACAGAGGGGUCCACCUCAGAGUUCCCGGAGGCACAGGGCGGCCGCACGUCCGUCGGCAUCAGCCCCUGUGCCGAGACCCUGUAGAGUGGCAGCCCGCUGUGGCCCUGAUGAGAACACGACCUCCACCCUGUCCAGGGCUUCGGGUCAAAUGGAGUCAGCGCUCGGAGGAGCAGAAGGUGUCAGCCGAGAGGCUGGGGUCACUGUAUGUGGUCCCUUGGGUUCAGACAGUGGUAGAGGCCUCGAGAAGACACUGCCCUCGCCAAGAACUCAGCCUUCUAACUCACCAGUUCCCUUAUUUUCCUGCUCACUACACAGAAGAUAGAAGCAUACCUCUCGCAAAGUUAUUUUUGCUGCUCCACUCAUUUCAGAAAAUUGAGGAUGGCUUUACAGACCUUGAAAACUCCCUCUGAAAUAAUGCUUUCCAACCUAGAAACCUCCCAGACUGGGGUCUGCGUGGUCCAAACAAUCCCAGGCUCCUACAGGCUCCUGGCACCGUGCAUUUCCUUCCUGUUGUGCCCCAAGGAGAUGCCAGAGCUUCAAAAAUAGAUUAAGCAAACCUUUGCAUAGAUGAGUAGAGGUGACAUUUGUCAACAGGAGAAAGGACGCAGCCAUAGCUUCCUAGAAGGUCCAACCAAUGUAAUUACCAAGGCUUCCUGACAUGCAGGUCCCAAACGGCCAUCUUCCUUUUUUACAUGGGGUCUUUGGACAAAUAGAAUAAUUUUCCAUGUUUUCUACUAAUCAUCUCUGGGACUUCAGGGGAAGAGCAGCAGCACAGAGACAGCAGGGGAGACCUGAUGAUACCGACCACCGCCAGACACACCGCGAUUAGGCACCAGCUCCACCUGAGGAAUGUAGUCAUUAUGUACUGAAGCAUGCACUAAUAAAAACUAAAUUAAAAGAUGCAUCUAAAGGCCUAGAUAAUACUUUAAGGAUGGGUUUCCUGCAGGCUAGCUCUUUGAAAAUUGGUAAAUCACCUGUUUUUAACAAAUGUAUACUAAUGGUCCAAAAUAUUCCUCUAUCUGCCUUCUGUUUUUAAAGACCAUUUAUUUCUUGUUUGGGGCAUUGCUUUGUACCAGGCACUGUGCUGAGCACUGGAUGUGUAAAAGUCAAAAAAGACCGAUAAGGCUCAUGUCCUCACACAAGUGAUGGCCACAGGAGACAGAGCAAUUACGUGUAUAAGACCUGCCCGUGAAAGAAACAUUGGCAUCAAAGAGCUCCUCAUAAGAAAGAACUCUUGAUUCUCCUGGUGUGUAACAGGUUUCAGUCAGUGCUUGCUAAAUAAACAGUAGGUGAUUUUGCAUUUGGGAAGUGAGAAGAAUCGAGGCUGCCUGUUACUCAAGGUUGGAUUAGAAUCUGUUAUGCAUAGAGGAGUUCUUGUGCAGAGCUGCCCACAGCAGCGCCAGCCCAGGGAGCCUGUGACAGACAGCUGCACACCUCCCUGGUUCACAGGAAAUCUGGCUGUCGUGUCCCUGAGCACUGCAGGGAGCUGUGGGUAAGUCACAGGUGGGGACCCGUGUUACCAGAUAGGCAACAAGGAGACUCAGGCACCCAAG